Molecule: ribosomal RNA, 468 nt
Filed under: uncultured bacterium
Lineage: Bacteria
Description: partial 16S ribosomal RNA
Rfam family: Bacterial small subunit ribosomal RNA
Source: RNAcentral
GACGAACGCUGGCGGCGUGCUUAACACAUGCAAGUCGAACGGAAAGGCCCUGCUUUUGUGGGGUGCUCGAGUGGCGAACGGGUGAGUAACACGUGAGUAACCUGCCCUUGACUUUGGGAUAACUUCAGGAAACUGGGGCUAAUACCGGAUAGGAGCUCCUGCUGCAUGGUGGGGGUUGGAAAGUUUCGGCGGUUGGGGAUGGACUCGCGGCUUAUCAGCUUGUUGGUGGGGUAGUGGCUUACCAAGGCUUUGACGGGUAACCGGCCUGAGAGGGUGACCGGCGACAUUGGGACUGAGGGACGGCCCAGACUCCUACGGGAGGCAGCAGUGGGGAAUAUUGCACAAUGGGCGGAAGCCUGAUGCAGCAACGCCGCGUGCGGGAUGACGGCCUUCGGGUUGUAAACCGCUUUCGCCUGUGACGAAGCGUGAGUGACGGUAAUGGGUAAAGAAGCACCGGCUAACUACGUG